CAUAAUCAUUAGUUUUUUAAUUGGAAACUUGUAUGAAUGGUUGAACAAAAGAAAUUCUGUCUCUAUUUUAGAAUUUGAAUUUAACUUUUAAGUGAAAAGGCUUAAAUUUUUCAAGGGGACGAUAAGACCCUAUAAAGCUUUAUAAAUAACUAAAUGUUUUUUAAAUUAUAAAAUAAAAAAAAAAUUUAGAGGUUUAUUAUGUUGGGGCGACACGGAUAUAAAUAAAAAUAACUAUCAGAAAGAAAAACAAUAAUUUUUGAAUUUUAUGAUCCUUAUGAAAGAUUAUAAGACUAAGUUACUUUAGGGAUAACAGCGUAAUUCUUUUUGAGAGUUCAUAUCGAAAAGAGAGUUUGCGACCUCGAUGUUGAAUCAUAAAAUCUUUAUAGUGCAGCAGUUAUAAAAG
Molecule: ribosomal RNA, 403 nt
Filed under: Nemausa spinipes
Lineage: Eukaryota; Metazoa; Arthropoda; Malacostraca; Decapoda; Mithracidae
Description: partial 16S ribosomal RNA
Rfam family: Bacterial large subunit ribosomal RNA
Source: RNAcentral